RNAcentral lists this ribosomal RNA (925 nucleotides) under Staphylococcus pasteuri. RNAcentral describes it as "bacterial SSU rRNA". It matches the Rfam family "Bacterial small subunit ribosomal RNA", at positions 24 to 934 of the family's 1533-position model. The record is from RNAcentral. Lineage: Bacteria; Bacillati; Bacillota; Bacilli; Caryophanales; Staphylococcaceae.
UUUGGGUCUUAGUAUUGGUAGUGCGUCGAUGCCAGUCGAGCGAAGGAUAAGGAGCUUGCUCCUUUGACGUUAGCGGCGGACGGGUGAGUAACACGUGGAUAACCUACCUAUAAGACUGGGAUAACUUCGGGAAACCGGAGCUAAUACCGGAUAACAUAUUGAACCGCAUGGUUCAAUAGUGAAAGGCGGCUUUGCUGUCACUUAUAGAUGGAUCCGCGCCGUAUUAGCUAGUUGGUAAGGUAACGGCUUACCAAGGCAACGAUACGUAGCCGACCUGAGAGGGUGAUCGGCCACACUGGAACUGAGACACGGUCCAGACUCCUACGGGAGGCAGCAGUAGGGAAUCUUCCGCAAUGGGCGAAAGCCUGACGGAGCAACGCCGCGUGAGUGAUGAAGGUCUUCGGAUCGUAAAACUCUGUUAUCAGGGAAGAACAAAUGUGUAAGUAACUGUGCACAUCUUGACGGUACCUGAUCAGAAAGCCACGGCUAACUACGUGCCAGCAGCCGCGGUAAUACGUAGGUGGCAAGCGUUAUCCGGAAUUAUUGGGCGUAAAGCGCGCGUAGGCGGUUUUUUAAGUCUGAUGUGAAAGCCCACGGCUCAACCGUGGAGGGUCAUUGGAAACUGGAAAACUUGAGUGCAGAAGAGGAAAGUGGAAUUCCAUGUGUAGCGGUGAAAUGCGCAGAGAUAUGGAGGAACACCAGUGGCGAAGGCGACUUUCUGGUCUGUAACUGACGCUGAUGUGCGAAAGCGUGGGGAUCAAACAGGAUUAGAUACCCUGGUAGUCCACGCCGUAAACGAUGAGUGCUAAGUGUUAGGGGGUUUCCGCCCCUUAGUGCUGCAGCUAACGCAUUAAGCACUCCGCCUGGGGAGUACGACCGCAAGGUUGAAACUCAAAGGAAUUGACGGGGACCCGCACAAGCGGUG